UCCCGCAGCCCUGAGACCGCGCAGCAGAGUUGCACUGCCCAGGUCCAUCUAGGGUUGUGCGGAGCGGGGUGGGUGGAGUUGGACAUCACAGUAGCAGCAGCAUCCCUGCGGUCUGGGACCCCUCGGUAGGGGAGCAGAGGACCCGCCCUGAUCUAGCCUGGCCCAGCCUAGUCUAGCCUGGUCCAAGAGCCCCGCCCAGGAGUGGGUUCUAAGGCAAGAAUACUGAGGCCCUUCUACAGUGUCAGCACCCAAGGAUCUGGACCGGGCUGUGGGUCAGAGCGUGGCCCUACUCCCUGUCCCCAGACCCGGGCGGCCGUCAUGGACAAGAUCCUGGAGGCCGUGGUGACUUCGUCCUACCCUGCGAGUGUGAAGCAAGGGCUGGUGCGGCGGGUGCUGGAGGCUGCGCGGCAGCCCCUGGAGCGGGAGCAGUGCCUGGCGCUGCUGGCCCUGGGCGCCCGCCUCUACGUGGGUGGCACGGACGAGCUGCCGCGCCGCGUGGGCUGCCAGCUGCUGCACGUGGCGGGUCGCCACCACCCCGACGUCUUCGCCGAGUUCUUCAGCGCCCGCCGCGUGCUGCGCCUGCUGCAGGGCGGUGCGGGGCCCCCGGGGGUGCGCGCGCUGGCCUGCGUGCAGCUAGGGCUGCAGCUGCUGCCCGACGGGCCGGCGGCCGACGAGGUGUUCGCGUUGCUGCGGCGCGAGGUGCUGCGCACAGUGUGCGAGCGCCCGGGCCCCGCCGCCUGCGCGCAGGUCGCCCGGCUGCUGGCGCGCCACCCGCGCUGCGUACCCGACGGAGCGCACCGCCUGCUCUUCUGCCAGCAGCUGGUGCGCUGCCUCGGCCGCUUCCGCUGCCCAGCCGAGGGCGAGGAGGGCGCGGUGGAGUUCCUGGAGCAGGCCCAGCAGGUGAGCGGGCUCCUGGCGCAGCUGUGGCGCGCGCAGCCCGCUGCCAUCCUGCCCUGCCUCAAGGAGCUGUUCGCAGUCAUCUCCUGCACAGAGGAGGAGCCACCGUCCAGCGCCUUGGCCAGUGUGGUCCAGCACCUCCCAUUGGAGCUCAUGGAUGGUGUGGUCCGGAACCUGAGCAAUGAUGACAGUGUGACAGACUCUCAGAUGCUCACUGCCAUUAGCAGGAUGAUCGACUGGGUGUCCUGGCCCCUGGGGAAGAACAUUGACAAGUGGAUCAUUGCCCUGCUGAAGGGCCUGGCUGCCGUUAAGAAGUUCAGCAUCUUGAUCGAGGUUUCGCUCGCCAAAAUUGAGAAGGUUUUCUCUAAGCUGCUGUACCCCAUCGUUCGGGGAGCUGCCCUGUGUGUCCUCAAGUACAUGCUCCUGACUUUCCAGCACUCCCAUGAGGCCUUCCACCUGCUUCUCCCUCACAUUCCCCCCAUGGUGGCCUCUCUGGUCAAGGAGGACUCGAACUCUGGAACCAGCUGCCUGGAGCAGCUGGCAGAGCUGGUGCACUGCAUGGUGUUUCGGUUCCCAGGCUUCCCAGACCUGUAUGAACCUGUCAUGGAAGCCAUCAAGGACCUCCACAUUCCCAAUGAGGACCGAAUCAAGCAGCUGCUGGGGCAGGAUGCCUGGACCUCACAGAAGAGUGAACUGGCUGGCUUCUAUCCCCGGCUCAUGGCCAAGUCAGACACGGGCAAGAUUGGCUUAAUCAACUUGGGCAACACAUGCUACGUGAACAGUGUCCUUCAGGCCUUGUUCAUGGCUUCUGACUUUCGACACUGUGUGCUCCGCUUGACUGAGAACAACUCCCAGCCCUUGAUGACCAAGCUGCAGUGGCUCUUUGCCUUCCUGGAGCACAGUCAGAGGCCUGCCAUCUCUCCUGAGAACUUCCUCUCUGCAUCCUGGACACCUUGGUUCAGCCCUGGCACCCAGCAGGACUGUUCAGAGUAUCUGAAGUACCUGCUGGAUCGGCUUCAUGAAGAAGAGAAAACGGGGACGAGGAUCUGCCAGAAACUCAAGCAGUCAAGCCUGCCAUCCCCACAGGAAGAGCUUCCCAGCCCCAAUGCAACGUCUGUGGAGAAAAUGUUUGGAGGCAAGAUUGUGACCCGGAUAUGCUGUCUCCACUGUCUCAAUGUUUCCUCAAGGGAGGAGGCCUUCACAGACCUCUCUUUGGCCUUCCCUCCUCCUGAGAGAAGUCGCCACCGCCGCCACGGCUCUGUGAUGCUCCCCACGGAGGAUGUGCGAGCUCAGGAGUUGACACUGGCUCCCAGAGCCCCAGAGGUACAGAGGCAGAGAAAGCACUGCAUCACAGGGGAUGCUCCCCGCACUGGACUGGACAUUGAAGGUGUGGACACCCUAGGCACUGGCGGACAGAGUGGGCAGGAGAAGGUGGACAGGGAGCAGGCUGGGAAAGAGAAGGAGGUGGCAGAGGACAGGGAAGAGGAAGGAACAAGGGAAGAGGAGAAAGAAGAGGGGGAAGAGAAAGACAAAGAGAAAGAGAAGAAGGAAGAUGAAAAGGAAAAGGAAAAGGAAAAGGAAGCUGAGGACAGCAAGGAGAAGGAAGGGGACAGCUUAGGAUCAGGGACCCGCAGGGAUGCUGCCACCCCACCCAGGGAGCAGGCAUGUGGUCCUGAGGGUUCCCGCUCUGUACUGGACUUGGUCAACUACUUCCUGUCCCCUGAGAGGCUGACGGCUGAGAACCGCUACUACUGUGAGUCCUGUGCCUCCCUGCAGGAUGCGGAGAAGGUGGUGGAGCUGAGCCAGGGUCCACGCUACCUCAUCCUCACACUACUGCGCUUCUCCUUUGACCUGCGUACCAUGAGGCGGCGCAAGAUCCUGGAUGAUGUCACCAUCCCCCUUUUGUUGCGCCUGCCGCUGGCUGGGGGUCAGGGCCAGGCUUAUGACCUCUGUAGUGUGGUGGUACACUCUGGAGUGUCCUCAGAGAGUGGCCACUAUUACUGCUAUGCUCGUGAGGGUGCUGCUCGGCCAGCUCCUGCCCUGGGAUCCACAGAGAGGCCGGAGCCUGAGAACCAGUGGUACCUUUUUAAUGAUACCCGGGUGUCUUUCUCAUCCUUUGAGUCUGUCAGCAAUGUCACCUCCUUUUUCCCUAAGGACACUGCCUAUGUGCUCUUCUACCGCCAGAGGCCCAGAGAGGGCCCUGAGGCUGAGCCUGGCUCUCCUAGAGUCCGAGCAGAGCCUACCCUCCACAAGGACCUGAUGGAGGCCAUUUCUAAAGAUAAUGUCCUCUAUCUGCAGGCCAUCCAGCCGAGAUAUGGCUUGGUGAAGUCUGAGAGAGGCUGAUCAGGGAAGAACUUGCUCAUGGGCAGAAGAUGGACCUCAUGCUUCAAGAGAGGCAGAGCAGGAGAAGGAGGCCCGGAGCAGGGCAGCUUAUAUCUCUACACUCCCUGCCCCUCCACACUGGGGUAGGGGCUUUGAUGAAGACAAAGAUGAGGACGAAGGCUCACCAGGGGGCUGCAACCCUGCAGGUGGCAAUGGUGACUUCCACAGACUGGUCUUCUAAUGGGAACUCCCACUUGUGGGGCUAUCACAGCUAACCUCAGAGUGGGCCAUGUGGGGCUCAGGGCCCAGGUAGAACACUCUACCAUCUGGGGUCUUAGGGAGCUGUGGAGGCAAGCCUAAGGUGAAGCUGGUCUUUCUGAGGGCAAGGAGGAUGAAGAGGGACCAUUUACGAUGUCAGUCUGUAGCUUGAAGUGCACAGAGAAACUGAAACCCAAAGCUCCUUAGGCAUUCAUCCUAUUAUGAUGUUAUAGUCAAGUGUCCCGAGUACCUGGGAGCACCCUGAAUGUGUCUGCUCCGGACUCUGCCUCCAUGCAGGUCCAGUCCUGGAAAGGCUGGCCAGCUCAGGAGCCAGGGUGGUGUCCGUUUGGUAUCCUGUGUCCAGUAGCACUUCUAAUUCCUUCACCCAGCUCUUCCUCAAUAGGAGAAAAAGCACAGCUGAAGUCACACCCUUGGAACAAGAAGGGGACUGUGUCCCCAAUGCCCACCCUCUUGUUUUUUAAGGGGGUUCUUAAAACAAGGUAUGUGGGUAUCUGCACCUGCUGUGUUUUUGAUGCAUGUGAAUGGAAGGCAGCAUAGCAAAGGAUCAGAGACAAGAAUCUUAGCACAUGCCCCUCCCUACCCCAAGCAAGCGACACUGUGGGAGAGCCCCUGCCCUCCCUAGCCUGCCUCAGUGCCUGAGAUGCUGCCAUUGCAUCCCUGUCUAGUUAAGGUUCAGAGUCCUUAUUUUACUGAAGACAUUAAUCUGUCAGAAAGCCAUUGUCAUCUGAGGAAGCUAGCUGGCUUGGCUCCUCUGAUGAAUGUGAGGGCUAGGUAUGUAUGAACUGUGUGAUGCACCCAACCUCAUAGUGCCCCGAGACUACUAUAGCCCCUUCUCAGUGAAGAGAAGAAACCUGUGUUCUUAAAUAGGAAUAAAACUUGCUUCUCUGAA
RNA transcript from Arvicanthis niloticus (Nile rat), 4387 nucleotides. It is a transcript of the gene named ubiquitin specific peptidase 35, with no coding region annotated. The record is from RefSeq and is a predicted model, not a curated record. Lineage: Eukaryota; Metazoa; Chordata; Mammalia; Rodentia; Muridae.